This 603-nucleotide ribosomal RNA is filed under the name uncultured fungus. Its description in RNAcentral is "eukaryotic LSU rRNA". It matches the Rfam family "Eukaryotic large subunit ribosomal RNA", at positions 23 to 641 of the family's 3401-position model. The record is from RNAcentral. Lineage: Eukaryota; Fungi.
ACCCGCUGAACUUAAGCAUAUCAAUAAGCGGAGGAAAAGAAACCAACAGGGAUUGCCCUAGUAACGGCGAGUGAAGCGGCAACAGCUCAAAUUUGAAAUCUGGCGUCUUUGGCGUCCGAGUUGUAAUUUGCAGAGGGCGCUUUGGCAUUGGCAGCGGUCCAAGUUCCUUGGAACAGGACGUCACAGAGGGUGAGAAUCCCGUACGUGGUCGCUAGCCUUUACCGUGUAAAGCCCCUUCGACGAGUCGAGUUGUUUGGGAAUGCAGCUCUAAAUGGGAGGUAAAUUUCUUCUAAAGCUAAAUACCGGCCAGAGACCGAUAGCGCACAAGUAGAGUGAUCGAAAGAUGAAAAGCACUUUGGAAAGAGAGUUAAAAAGCACGUGAAAUUGUUGAAAGGGAAGCGCUUGCAGCCAGACUUGCCUGUAGUUGCUCAUCCGGGUUUUUACCCGGUGCACUCUUCUAUAGGCAGGCCAGCAUCAGUUUGGGCGGUUGGAUAAAGGUCUCUGUCAUGUACCUCUCUUCGGGGAGAACUUAUAGGGGAGACGACAUGCAACCAGCCCGGACUGAGGUCCGCGCAUCUGCUAGGAUGCUGGCGUAAUGGCUGU